UGCACGGUGGCCAAGUGGUAAGGUGUUGGUCUUGUAAACCAAUAAUCAUAGGUUCAAGCCCCACCUGUGUCU
RNAcentral lists this transfer RNA (72 nucleotides) under Lepisosteus oculatus (spotted gar). It matches the Rfam family "tRNA". From Rfam's summary of the family: Transfer RNA (tRNA) molecules are approximately 80 nucleotides in length. Lineage: Eukaryota; Metazoa; Chordata; Actinopteri; Semionotiformes; Lepisosteidae. The record is from Rfam by way of RNAcentral.